UUGACAGAGUAUUUAAUUUUGAAUUUUGAAAAAAACAAGUUGUUUCACUUAAAAUCUGAUUGCCCUGCCCCUCAUCACCCCCUGCAAUUUCCCUACAUGUAUCUGCUAAAGGGGUUAUAUAUAGUCUUUCUGCUACCCAAUUUGUUUAGACUAAAAUUAGAAUUACUAAGAUACCAUGGAGAUUCUUAUUCCAGCAAAAAUAUUUUUAACUGGACAAAAAGUGUAUUCCAGUCACAGUUGCAGCAAUAUCUUUCAGAUCCUGGCCUUGCUGUAGGUGUUCAUUGAGUUCAGCCACGCUUCAAGUAUUUUGUUCCACAGAAUCAUCACCUACAGUAUUUCUGAUUUUGGUGUACUUGUGGAUCCAGUAAAAUUAUGAGCUGAACUGCACACUAAAGUGUGGAGUUAGCUCCCAGGAACUGCAGCCCAUGAGUACUUGUUAAGGGCUCUCUGGCCAAGGGGAAGGGAUGACCAGUGGGGCUGAUCCUGGGUCUGCAGGGCCCCAGGUGGGAGCAGUAGAAGAGUGAGGAGGUAGAAAUUCAGUUUUGAGGCUGAGCAUUGUUUCCUGAAGGUCUGCUUCUGAAUUUUGGGAGGAUACACAACUUCUGCUGUCCUCACUGAGAAGUUGCUUGUGCUACUGUUCUACAGUAGGUUUUAACUUCCAGUGCAUCCCGAUGGUUUUCAAAGGAAGGAAUGGAGACCUCAUGACAAGUAUUGUUUUAAGCAUGUGGUACCUUACUGUCUACUUCUCAUCAGGAUCAUCUUGGAAACUCAGCAGAAAAGCUCAGCGUUUCUCAGGGAGGAGUAGGAAAGUAUGCAGGAGCAUCUCGGCUCCAGCAGGGGUCACCUGCUCUUUGUUCCAGGCAUCGUUCUCACAAAAGCUCCUUUGCACUGGGUUUUUCUCAUGCUUCUCCAUGCAGGAAAGUGUCCGUGGAGCAGCACAUCCUGGACCAGUAAAGGUGUAACCAUUUCCUCAUGACAGAAGGAAUCACGGGGGAAGUGAAACAAUGCAUGGCCUAAUCAAUAUUGAGGAUCUGUGUGGUCUUUGAGUGCCAGGCUCCAAGGUGUGCAUUCAGAAAGACAGCCUGUCCUUUACAUAUUGUUCUGCAGCACAGAGCAGUAAUGGUAUGGGUAACAUAAGACCUGCAAUUAUGAGAGCAAAGAGAAUGAGAGAAUACAUUAAUGAGAUCAGAGGUUAAAUUAACAUAACCAGUGUCACCGAAUGACACACCUGAAAAUUCACAGCUGCCAGAAAACUUCCUGCUACUGGAGGGAGACAGUCAUUUAGCCAGGCAGUUCCUCAAUUUUGGCUUUCUGUGCAUUUGACUUUCUGAAACAUGACUGAAAAUAGGAGUGUGCCCAGACCCACACAGGAGGGCUGAGGAGUGGACUGCAGUGCUGCUGCUCUAGUGUGCUCCCCUCACUGCUGACUAGCAAAGAGCAACUGUUCAAAGAUGGGC
Long non-coding RNA from Chiroxiphia lanceolata (lance-tailed manakin), 1457 nucleotides. RefSeq lists it as uncharacterized. NCBI's taxonomy places the organism in Eukaryota, Metazoa, Chordata, Aves, Passeriformes, Pipridae. The record is from RefSeq and is a predicted model, not a curated record. The transcript is spliced from 8 exons.